This 496-nucleotide ribosomal RNA is filed under the name uncultured bacterium. RNAcentral describes it as "partial 16S ribosomal RNA". It matches the Rfam family "Bacterial small subunit ribosomal RNA", at positions 28 to 506 of the family's 1533-position model. The record is from RNAcentral.
GAUGAACGCUGGCGGCGUGCCUAAUACAUGCAAGUCGAGCGAACGGACGAGAAGCUUGCUUCUCUGAUGUUAGCGGCGGACGGGUGAGUAACACGUGGAUAACCUACCUAUAAGACUGGGAUAACUUCGGGAAACCGGAGCUAAUACCGGAUAAUAUUUUGAACCGCAUGGUUCAAAAGUGAAAGACGGUCUUGCUGUCACUUAUAGAUGGAUCCGCGCUGCAUUAGCUAGUUGGUAAGGUAACGGCUUACCAAGGCAACGAUGCAUAGCCGACCUGAGAGGGUGAUCGUCCACACUGGAACUGAGACACGGUCCAGACUCCUACGGGAGGCAGCAGUAGGGAAUCUUCCGCAAUGGGCGAAAGCCUGACGGAGCAACGCCGCGUGAGUGAUGAAGGUCUUCGGAUCGUAAAACUCUGUUAUUAGGGAAGAACAUAUGUGUAAGUAACUGUGCACAUCUUGACGGUACCUAAUCAGAAAGCCACGGCUAACUACGU